UGCCAUGAUUUUAGAUCUGAACUUAUUAUGUUCUCUCUGAAUAUGAAAAGUUUGUAGAUCCUAUAUUGCAAGUUGUAUGUACCUAUUGCGUGUCUUAAUCCGCAUACCCCAAGGUGACAAUAAUUGGGAUUCUUUCCGGUGAUGGUUGUAGUUUGAGGAGUUCAUGCAUACACUAUGUAUUAAUGCUUUGUUCUGGUUCUAUAGUCAAAGGAGGCCAUAAUAUCCCUUAGUUUCCAAUAGGAACCCGCUGCUACGGGUGGGUACGAAAAAAAUUAAGUCAUGUAAGUUCUUAUC
This 294-nucleotide long non-coding RNA is filed under the name Hordeum vulgare. RNAcentral describes it as "long non-coding RNA (HVUL_LNC015718)". The record is from RNAcentral. Lineage: Eukaryota; Viridiplantae; Streptophyta; Magnoliopsida; Poales; Poaceae.